UACGGGCGAGAGACCGAUAGCGAACAA
This 27-nucleotide small nuclear RNA is filed under the name Arabidopsis thaliana (thale cress). RNAcentral describes it as "snRNA_08476". The record is from RNAcentral. Lineage: Eukaryota; Viridiplantae; Streptophyta; Magnoliopsida; Brassicales; Brassicaceae.